RNAcentral lists this non-coding RNA (47 nucleotides) under Schistosoma mansoni. The record is from RNAcentral. Lineage: Eukaryota; Metazoa; Platyhelminthes; Trematoda; Strigeidida; Schistosomatidae.
AUCCAGCUGACGAGUCCAAAAAAUAGGACGAAACAAGCAUCCUGGAU